Molecule: long non-coding RNA, 710 nt
Organism: Gallus gallus (chicken)
Lineage: Eukaryota; Metazoa; Chordata; Aves; Galliformes; Phasianidae
Exons: 4
Source: RefSeq, a predicted model, not a curated record
AAUCGCCCAGCUGUCCCCUCAGACGGCAGCCCGUGGCCGUCCCCUUCGCCGUGGGAUGCGGGGAUUUGGGGCGGCUGAAGGAGUCGGGGCCCCCACCACCUCAGCGCUGCUGCCCUCACAGGGGCCGGGCCUCCCCGAGCCUCCAGUGCUUGUUGAGGUUUCAGUCUCCAUUCUGCUGAUCCGAAAGAAAGAAGGCGGCUUUUGGAGGACUUAAUCAUGGCGAGUCGAGCUGCUGCUGAACCUCCCCUUCCAACAUCCAGCAGGUUUGUUCUGCAGGUCCCAAUGAUGGCACAGGCAUGAAAGAGCCCAGAGCUCGUCGCUGGGGAGAGGCUGCGUAUGGCGUUGUGAAGGGAGAGAUGGAGGAGGGGUUUGAGCAGCGCUGUGCAGGAAUGAACGGCUGGUAAGAGAAGAGGCAGGAGUCGGGCAGCGGUACUGCAGCUCCUCUGGCAGCUUUGCAGCUCAGCUGGGAAGCAGAAGAUGUGGAUGUGAAAGAAGAAGUCCGUUGCUGGGACGUUCCCCUGUUCUUCCCCCAGCUGUCCCCUUGCUUUCCACAAGGCUGCCCUUUCCUUUCUCAUGACAGCCCACCCAUCAUUCCCUCAGAGCCCAUAUAUCCCUCCCAGUGUUUCCCAGCAAGACCCCUAGAGACACCCUGUAGCCCCCCACAGAGCCCUGGAGCCCCUCAAGGACCCCCUCAGACGCAGUACACCUCC